CGAUGGAGGACCCAGGUCAACCAAGAGAAGAAGAGUAUUACAUUGCCCAGCUAUGUUUGGCGGCCAACAUUGGUGAAAAAUUCAAGUUCGAAGCUGCUUCACUACUGUCUUUCAGUAACGAGAGGAGAUUCGGUAUGGAACAAUCCUCUAUCUCCAGCUUUGAAGGGGAGACUGUCUCUUAAAAGCAAGAGUGCUCUGAGUUCAAAGGUCAACUGUAGCCAAGUAAAGACGAUAAGAUACAAUGUGCACAUGUUGCACUCUAUCAACUUUAUUUCAAUUAACUUCAUUAACUUCACUAGUCUGGCACACUUCUGUCACUCCUCAAAAUGUUUACUGGUCAGGGUUAGACUGGUAUUGAUCCAAGACGAAGAGCAGACUGUGGCCUUUCGGAAGGAGUGCAAAGAGUUCAGCGAUGGACCGGAGCUAGCCUAAGCAUUGAUAGUAAAUUAUGCAAUUUGUAUAUUGCACUCUGUUGACUUCCUUACUCUCUCUGUGUUGAGGAAAUAUUGCUUUUGCUUUGACAUGUAGACAUCUUUGUUAAGAGGUACAGGGUUAGACUGGCCUCGUUCUGCCGAAGAAGAGUAGACUGUCACCCAAGCGGGCGUUCAGUGACGAAAUGCAGUCAAUCUCAGACAUGCGGUUAGAAGGUUGGGCUGUUAGGGAUCAAGAGGUCAAGAAGAAAUUCUCAUGCAGAAGAAGAAGCUGCAAGGGAAGAAUCGACUGCAGCCAACUCCCCAAGUUAAGCAGAAGGAUGUUUACGCUGACCUGGAACCUAUAGUGAGGAGGAGUUUGUCUCCCAUUCAAGUGCAGCUACCACUAAAGAUGAGGAUGCAGAGCAGCAGGACCCAUGAAAAGGAGAACCAAGGCCAAAAGACAGAAGAAGAUGAGCAGCAGGACCCAUGAAGAGGAGGACUAAGGUUGGAUCAGAGAAGAAAAGGAGCAGCUGGAUCCAUGAAUACAAGAAGAAGGACCAAGGUCUGCCAACAGAAGAAGAGGAGUUUCAGGACCCAAGAAGAGGAGUAGCAGGACCCUUGAAGAGGACGAAGGCCGCUUGACAGAAGAAAAGAAGAAAAGGAGUCCAUUGCCCAGCUUUGACCUGGGGCCAACAUUGGCA
This is a long non-coding RNA of Saccostrea echinata, 1114 nucleotides long. RefSeq lists it as uncharacterized. The record is from RefSeq and is a predicted model, not a curated record. The transcript is spliced from 5 exons. NCBI's taxonomy places the organism in Eukaryota, Metazoa, Mollusca, Bivalvia, Ostreida, Ostreidae.